AGGAUGAACGCUGGCGGCGUGCCUAAUACAUGCAAGUCGAGCGGUAAGGCCCCUUCGGGGGUACACGAGCGGCGGACGGCUGAGUAACACGUAGGAACGUACCCCAAACUGAGGGAUAAGCACCAGAAAUGGUGUCUAAUACCGCAUGUGGUCUUCGGAUUAAAGCUUCGGCGGUUUGGGAACGGCCUGCGCAUGAUUAGCUUGUUGGUGAGGUAAAAGCUUACCAAGGCGACGAUCAUUAGCUGGUCUGAGAGGAUGAUCAGCCAGACUGGGACUGAGAACGGCCCAGACUCCUACGGGAGGCAGCAGUAGGGAAUUUUCCACAAUGGGCGAAAGCCUGAUGGAGCAACGCCGCGUGCAGGACGAAGGCCUUCGGGUUGUAAACUGCUUUUAUAUGUGAAGAUUAUGACGGUAGCAUAUGAAUAAGGAUCGGCUAACUCCGUGCCAGCAGCCGAC
Molecule: ribosomal RNA, 456 nt
Filed under: uncultured bacterium
Lineage: Bacteria
Description: SSU rRNA
Rfam family: Bacterial small subunit ribosomal RNA
Source: RNAcentral